AGCUCCAAUAGCGUAUAUUAAAGUUGUUGCAGUUAAAAAGCUCGUAGUUGGAUUUCGGCAUGGGCCAGUUGGUCCGCCGCAAGGUGAGUUACUGACUGGUUUGUUCUUCUUCGCAAAGACUGCGUGUGCUCUUUACUGAGUGUACGUAGGAUUUACGACGUUUACUUUGAAAAAAUUAGAGUGUUCAAAGCAGGCUAUCGCUUGAAUACAUGAGCAUGGAAUAAAGGAAUAGGACUUUGGUUCUAUUUGGUUGGUUUCGAGGACCGAAGUAAUGAUUAAGAGGGACAAUUGGGGGCAUCCGUAUUUCGUUGUCAGAGGUGAAAUUCUUGGAUUUACGAAAGACGAACAACUGCGAAAGCACUUGCCAAGAGUGUUUUCA
This 379-nucleotide ribosomal RNA is filed under the name marine Metazoa environmental sample. RNAcentral's name for it is "SSU rRNA". It matches the Rfam family "Eukaryotic small subunit ribosomal RNA", at positions 587 to 972 of the family's 1831-position model. The record is from RNAcentral. Lineage: Eukaryota; Metazoa.